This 464-nucleotide ribosomal RNA is filed under the name uncultured bacterium. RNAcentral's name for it is "partial 16S ribosomal RNA". It matches the Rfam family "Bacterial small subunit ribosomal RNA", at positions 339 to 795 of the family's 1533-position model. The record is from RNAcentral.
CUACGGGUCGCUCCAGUGGGGAAUAUUGCACAAUGGGCGCAAGCCUGAUGCAGCCAUGCCGCGUGUAUGAAGAAGGCCUUCGGGUUGUAAAGUACUUUCAGCGGGGAGGAAGGGAGUAAAGUUAAUACCUUUGCUCAUUGACGUUACCCGCAGAAGAAGCACCGGCUAACUCCGUGCCAGCAGCCGCGGUAAUACGGAGGGUGCAAGCGUUAAUCGGAAUUACUGGGCGUAAAGCGCACGCAGGCGGUUUGUUAAGUCAGAUGUGAAAUCCCCGGGCUCAACCUGGGAACUGCAUCUGAUACUGGCAAGCUUGAGGCUCGUAGAGGGGGGUAGAAUUCCAGGUGUAGCGGUGAAAUGCGUAGAGAUCUGGAGGAAUACCGGUGGCGAAGGCGGCCCCCUGGACGAAGACUGACGCUCAGGUGCGAAAGCGUGGGGAGCAAACAGGAUUAGAUACCCCUGUAGUC